This 118-nucleotide non-coding RNA is filed under the name Cellulomonas sp. RNAcentral describes it as "SAM-IV sequence". It matches the Rfam family "SAM (S-adenosyl methionine) riboswitch aptamer". From Rfam's summary of the family: SAM-IV is a mRNA element that regulates gene expression via direct sensing of S-adenosylmethionine (SAM or AdoMet). SAM-IV riboswitches share conserved nucleotide positions with the previously described SAM-I riboswitches sequence analysis and molecular recognition experiments suggest that SAM-I and SAM-IV riboswitches share similar ligand binding sites, but have different scaffolds. The record is from RNAcentral. Lineage: Bacteria; Bacillati; Actinomycetota; Actinomycetes; Micrococcales; Cellulomonadaceae.
GGUCAUGAGCUCCGACGCGUAGCCCCGGCUGGUCGGACGGCAACCCUCCCGCGCGGCGGGGUGCCCCGGGUGAGGACCUGGCUCGAGCGGCACCCGCCGUCCGAGCAACGCGCCAGAC